Molecule: ribosomal RNA, 497 nt
Filed under: uncultured bacterium
Lineage: Bacteria
Description: partial 16S ribosomal RNA
Rfam family: Bacterial small subunit ribosomal RNA
Source: RNAcentral
GAUGAACGCUGGCGGCGUGCUUAACACAUGCCAGUCGAACGGAAAGACGCGGCGCUUGCUUGUCGCAUGUUUGCCGAGCGCGUGAGAGAAACGCGUGUAACCCGUCCUUGUAAGUCGGGUAUCACCUCGGGAAAUCGGAGCGUAUACGAUAUAAGAUUGUGAACCGUGGGGGGCAAAAGUGAGAGACGGUGUUGCGGGCUCUUCUAGAUGGAUCCGCGCUUGAUGAGCUAGUUGGUAGGGUAACGGCUUACCAAGGCAACGAUGCGUAGCCGACUUGAGAGGGUGAUCGGCCACACUGGAACUGAGACACGGUCCAGACUCCUACGGGAGGCAGCAGUAGGGAAUCUUCCGCAAUGGGCGAAAGCCUGACGCAGCAAGGCCGCGUGAGUGAUGAAGGUCUUCGGAUCGUAAAACUCUGUUAUUAGGGACGAACAGAUGUCGACGUAACUGUGCAGAUAUUGACGGUACCUGAUCAGAAAGCACCGGCUAACUACGUG